CUUAUUGGAAACCACAGGAGGACUAGUUAGAAGGCAGGUUACCACACCCUCAGGAAGUCUCGGGAUAACCCUGCGAAUAUAUAACCCCCAUUACUCUGGUGCAGUCUGAAGUCUGAAAUUUAGAAUCCUUAGCCUUCAGGAUUUACUACAUAUUUUGAAGGAAUUCAGCCGACUGAAGUCUGGGACACAAUUCAUACCACCUUUUCUAACUGGAUGACUUCCAUGGAAGGAACAGCCACCUUCUGGGUAUUGUUUCUGAGAGCACACUGGAGUAAUCCAUCUCUUUACGGAUUCUGAUUCCUGAGAUAUCUGACACACAUCAGUUGGGACCAGGAGUUCUCCUAGGAAACAGAUUCUAAACUGGAGUUUACAAGUCAACCAGCAAUGAAGACCAGCUCACAGAUAGUCCUCCACUGAAGAUCCAGAGGCAUUAUAACAACAGCACCUGUUGCCUGUCUGGCUUACGAGCAAUAGUUUUUAGAACUCAACUAUUUAAAAUCUGCUACUUGUGUGCACCCUUCCUCUUGGGUACCUCUCUUUGGGAGAACCCGCUGCCACGUGGUGAGGAGCCCCACAGAGAGAACCAUGAAGCAAGAAGGAAUGUUAUCUGCCUCCAACAAUCAGCUGGGGCCGUCCAGCAGCCUCGAGAGUCAAUUUAGAAGUGGACACUCCUCCAGACAGAGAGAGACAGAGCAUUAACGGGGGAGGGGCAGAGAGAGAGGGAAACACAGAAUCG
Long non-coding RNA from Felis catus (domestic cat), 736 nucleotides. RefSeq lists it as uncharacterized. Lineage: Eukaryota; Metazoa; Chordata; Mammalia; Carnivora; Felidae. The record is from RefSeq and is a predicted model, not a curated record. The transcript has 6 exons.